GUGAACGCUGGCGGUAGGCCUAACACAUGCAAGUCGAACGGCAGCACAGUAAGAGCUUGCUCUUACGGGUGGCGAGUGGCGGACGGGUGAGGAAUACAUCGGAAUCUACUUUUUCGUGGGGGAUAACGUAGGGAAACUUACGCUAAUACCGCAUACGACCUACGGGUGAAAGUAGGGGAUCUUCGGACCUUGCGCGAUUGAAUGAGCCGAUGUCGGAUUAGCUAGUUGGCGGGGUAAAGGCCCACCAAGGCGACGAUCCGUAGCUGGUCUGAGAGGAGGAUCAGCCACACUGGAACUGAGACACGGUCCAGACUCCUACGGGAGGCAGCAGUGGGGAAUAUUGGACAAUGGGCGCAAGCCUGAUCCAGCCAUACCGCGUGGGUGAAGAAGGCCUUCGGGUUGUAAAGCCCUUUUGUUGGGAAAGAAAAGCAGCAGGUUAAUACCCCGCUGUUCUGACGGUACCCAAAGAAUAAGCACCGGCUAACUUCGUG
This 491-nucleotide ribosomal RNA is filed under the name uncultured bacterium. RNAcentral's name for it is "partial 16S ribosomal RNA". It matches the Rfam family "Bacterial small subunit ribosomal RNA", at positions 29 to 507 of the family's 1533-position model. The record is from RNAcentral.